AGGUCAAUGAUGACACCUAAAAUUGUCUUGAACAGAGACAAUGACAGAAAAAUCUUGCUCAGUAAGAUAACACUGAGGCCC
Small nucleolar RNA from Loxodonta africana (African savanna elephant), 81 nucleotides. Its record names the gene SNORD115. It matches the Rfam family "Small nucleolar RNA SNORD115". Rfam says of the family: HBII-52 is a member of the C/D class of snoRNAs, which contain the C (UGAUGA) and D (CUGA) box motifs. HBII-52 is encoded in a tandemly repeated array with another C/D snoRNA, HBII-85, in the Prader-Willi syndrome (PWS) region of chromosome 15. HBII-52 is exclusively expressed in the brain but is absent in PWS patients. The record is from Ensembl. Lineage: Eukaryota; Metazoa; Chordata; Mammalia; Proboscidea; Elephantidae.